AUUGAACGCUGGCGGCAGGCUUAACACAUGCAAGUCGAGCGGGGUGAUGGUGCUUGCACUAUCACUUAGCGGCGGACGGGUGAGUAAUGCUUAGGAAUCUGCCUAUUAGUGGGGGACAACAUCUCGAAAGGGAUGCUAAUACCGCAUACGUCCUACGGGAGAAAGCAGGGGAUCACUUGUGACCUUGCGCUAAUAGAUGAGCCUAAGUCGGAUUAGCUAGUUGGUGGGGUAAAGGCCUACCAAGGCGACGAUCUGUAGCGGGUCUGAGAGGAUGAUCCGCCACACUGGGACUGAGACACGGCCCAGACUCCUACGGGAGGCAGCAGUGGGGAAUAUUGGACGACGGGGGGAACCCUGAUCCAGCCAUGCCGCGUGUGUGAAGAAGGCCUUAUGGUUGUAAAGCACUUUAAGCGAGGAGGAGGCUCUUUUGGUUAAUACCCAGAAUGAGUGGACGUUACUCGCAGAAUAAGCACCGGCUAACUCUGUGCCAGCCGCCGCCGUAA
RNAcentral lists this ribosomal RNA (503 nucleotides) under uncultured bacterium. RNAcentral's name for it is "partial 16S ribosomal RNA". It matches the Rfam family "Bacterial small subunit ribosomal RNA", at positions 30 to 523 of the family's 1533-position model. The record is from RNAcentral.